RNAcentral lists this ribosomal RNA (501 nucleotides) under uncultured bacterium. RNAcentral's name for it is "partial 16S ribosomal RNA". It matches the Rfam family "Bacterial small subunit ribosomal RNA", at positions 29 to 523 of the family's 1533-position model. The record is from RNAcentral.
AUUGAACGCUGGCGGUAUGCCUUACACAUGCAAGUCGAACGGCAGCACGGGUGCCUGCACCUGGUGGCGAGUGGCGAACGGGUGAGUAAUACAUCGGAACGUACCUUAUCGUGGGGGAUAACGCAGCGAAAGCUGUGCUAAUACCGCAUACGCCCUGAGGGGGAAAGCGGGGGAUCGCAAGACCUCGCGCGACUAGAGCGGCCGAUGCCUGAUUAGCUUGUUGGUGGGGUAAAAGCCCACCAAGGCGACGAUCAGUAGCUGGUCUGAGAGGACGAUCAGCCACACUGGGACUGAGACACGGCCCAGACUCCUACGGGAGGCAGCAGUGGGGAAUUUUGGACAAUGGGGGCAACCCUGAUCCAGCAAUGCCGCGUGAGUGAAGAAGGCCUUCGGGUUGUAAAGCUCUUUUGUCAGGGAAGAAACACCGGCUCUAACACAGUCCGGGAAUGACGGUACCUGAAGAAUAAGCACCGGCUAACUACGUGCCAGCAGCCGCCGUAA